Long non-coding RNA from Hibiscus syriacus, 150 nucleotides. RefSeq lists it as uncharacterized. Lineage: Eukaryota; Viridiplantae; Streptophyta; Magnoliopsida; Malvales; Malvaceae. The record is from RefSeq and is a predicted model, not a curated record. The transcript has 3 exons.
AAGAAUGAUGUAAUUGACUUUUAUAUACAAUUAUUAACAGUAUCAGAAAUAUUGAGUAAGUAGUUAAUAAACCAACCGGAGCAUUUCAGUGAGAGUGGCCGCGGUACUCAAGUCGUCGGCUUCCCUUGCUUUGAGGAUGCGAAACAUAAG